Long non-coding RNA from Prionailurus viverrinus (fishing cat), 3908 nucleotides. RefSeq lists it as uncharacterized. The transcript is spliced from 6 exons. NCBI's taxonomy places the organism in Eukaryota, Metazoa, Chordata, Mammalia, Carnivora, Felidae. The record is from RefSeq and is a predicted model, not a curated record.
GCUGGGACGUGGGCGGAGGUGGUAAAGGGGUAAAGGCGGAGGAGGGAGUGUCUGCGAACAGGCAACACAUGCCUGGCGUGGUGCCUUGCAGCUGGCGGCGGGUGGGGCCGCCUGGCGGGCCGCUGCUUUCCCCUGUCCGCGGAGGCUGCGGACGGGAAACGAUCCGGGUGGGGAGCAUCCCUGCCCAGACCCCUUCCUCUGAAAGUCUGCGGGAUCCAGGGGCCGGGGGGCUUGCGACCUGAUAGUGGCCAUGAAGAACAGAAAGUUCACUUCACAAUCACUCCUUGCCUAGAUUUUUAUCUGGUAUGUGGAGCUCUUCCCCCAAACAGGUGGGCAAGGAAGAAGUGGAGGCCCCAGCAUCUUCUCCGCAGGCCUGCACCUGGAAGCAGGGGCAUAGAGAAGAGUGUGUCUGUGAUCUGCCAUGGAUUCCCAGGUCUGAUGUUUUGGUUUACCUUUCUGAAUUGGUUUUUUUUCUUCUAUAAGAUAGGGGUGUACAGGAAAGACAAAAACGCUAUUUUUUAAUUUUAAUUUUUAAAAAAAUACAAUUUAUUGUCACAUUGGCUAACAUACAGUGUGUAAAGUGUGCUCUUAGUUUUGGGGGUAGAUUCCUGUGGUUCAUCACUUACAUACAAUACCUAGUGCUCAUCCCAACAAAAAAAUGCUAUUUUAAAAAGCUGGUUGCUUUUUGAGUUGGAAUCUAAGGACAAUAGAAUUAGAGUCUUUUUCUUUCUUGGGGUGGGUUUUUUUUUUUUUUUUUUUUUUCAGUUUGGUCAAGGUAAAGGGCUAAUUGAGAUAGGAGUGCUUAGGACCUGGGGACUAAAAUUGCUCUGCAUAAAGAAAUAAGAACUUUUUGUUUUUAAUUGAGGCUGGAGGGAAAUUUUUUUAUUUUGCUUUUGUUUGGGCAGGAGUGGUGAGAGAGUGGGCCCUAGCAGUAGGGUAGACAUGAGAAGUUGCUCCUCCAGUGGCGAGAAGGAAGGGGGCGUGAGCUUUGAUGUCUGAUUGUCUAUUUUAAGUAGUUUCCUAUUCACCAUUAGAAUCUUUCUCUGGUAAAGAUAUGCUUGCAUGACACCCAGAUGUUCAUGUGUUUUGGAGACUGAAUAGAGAGGGCUGCAUCAGCAGUAGGGGUGAAGUGAAAUAGAAGGGAGAUGAUGAGAAUUGGGUUGCAGUUGGGGUUUAGGAUCAAAAGUAACAAGGAAUCAUUGGGCACUUUUUAGCACCCUCCCUAGGAUCCUUAAAAUCAUUAAGGAGAGGGCUGGGUCCCAACAGUUAUGUGAGAUCUGGUCUAAAAUAGGCACUUGAAUGUUAAAUGAAAGAUAGUAUACUUUGGGAGCAUGCAGAUGUCAGGGAGAAUAAUCUACUGACCAGGGUUGGAAGGUGUAAAUGUGGAUGUAGGUGAAGGCACUUCAUAAACUAGGGAAACACAUGCUCUUACACAAGAUAAAACCUCUUUCCAUGAAGAAUAUUUUGAAGUCAGAUUUGAAUUCAACACUGAUCAUGAAUAUAAGAAUAAUUAUCUGGAAGUCAUGAGCUAUGAUAGUUUUCUUUCUCUGUGAAGUCAGUUCAGACUGAUAGUUAAAACACAAUUUGGAUGUUAGAGAUACAAUUUGAAAAAAUGGCUCCAUAUGACCCAGUGUUUCAUGUUAAGAUGUGAGAUUUAGGAUCCCAUGGUAUAUCAGGCCCAUUUAGUGGGAACAGAAAGCAGCUUUGGUCACUUAAUAUUUAGCUGAGACUAUGGAUAGGUAUGAGAAAAAGGAAGUGAUGAUGUUGCAAAGCAACGGGAAAGAGCAUGUAUAGGAUAUAUAUACUAGACACUCAACAUAUAUUGUCUUUACUGCUCAUUCUUGUCCAAAGAAGUGGUGAUACGUCCAUUCUUUAGAUGGGGGUGGGGGAAAGGUGACAUUUACACUGAUGGGAGGAUUUGCUCCAAGUUAUAGCGCUGAAGUGGCAGAACUCCUGCAGACUGUCACCAAGGUCAAGGUCCUUGUUAUGUUCAUCUCACCAUGCUGCCAUGUGGGCUCUGAAUACAUCAGUGCUUAGCCUCCAAGCCUUGUGUGCUUCCAGACUCCUUGUCCCCGUUUCACACCAUAUCUCCAUUGUUUUUCUUCCUGAGAAUUUUUAAAGAAGGCUUCUGACAAGACUUGAUGAGAUGCUACAGCUGACAAGCAUGUGAAAAAGGAUGAAAUAACUUGAGGUCUGGAGUGAACAGUUACAUUCCUGGAUUGUUGAAAGGCCCAUUCUUUACAUGGGAUCAACCAUCUUUGGUGAGGCUGGGUGGAUGAUGCAGUUUCACUUCUAGGUGUUAGGAUUCUCUUUCACACUGGUUUGUCAUGACCUUAAAGUAUUUUAAGUUUCUCCUUUGCUUUGUGUUCACGCCCAAACUCCAAGGGUAGGAUCUACCACAUAGAGGGUGGAGUGGCAUUCCAAUUCCAUUUAUUUUCUGCUGAAGCUGGCACAUUGAAUGAAGAUUUAUAUCUUAAGUGACAGGAUUCAGACGAAACACGACAAACCUGUAAAAUCUGCAACGUGGACGUGUCAAUGCAGAACUUUCUGAUGAACUGGAUGGGACCAGGAAGACAAACCACACACACUGUCACGUUGUGCUGGGCAGCAUGACAGAUCAAAGAGAAUCCCAAGGAAGAGCAAGUCCUUGCUGGCUGCAGUGCACGUGGUGGGGGGUUCAGCACAGACUGCUGUUUGGUUUACGGAUUCAGGUGUGCGUCUAUCUUGGGCCUGCCUUUUUAAGGAAAAAUUUUGUGGAGAUACACUGCACUGACUGGAAAAUUAUUCACUUGUUUUUUAAUCAAAUUUAUCGAGUGGAAGCAUUGGUUAUGAAACUAGUCAUUUCACUAGACUUUAAUCCUGACCUAGUUGCCAACAAUGGGUGGUAAUUAUUCUUAUUUACCAAAGCACAGAGAGAAUCUGUGUUAAAAGAGCAACCCAGGCAGGCACUGCUUUGAGGAGGGAACAAGUUUUACCACCUUAGGAGAGAUGAAUUAGUUUUGUGAAACAUCUCUGAUUGUCUUGCUGAAGGGACUCCAACCACUGGACAUGAAUGGAAGCGUGCGGCAACUUUGUACUGCAGACAGCGAGUUAAAGCCCCCCGCCCCCCCACGCCCAGGAAAGCUCAGGAGUCAGGGGCCUCAGCGGAGCACACUCCUGACUUUACCACUGUGUGCCAUGGUGCUCCUGACAGCCUGGUUGGCCGUCACUCAUCUAGAAGAAUGAAUGAACCUCGUAUUAAGCGCUCCUCGCUGUUGGUUCAAGUAGAUCUCCUCAGAGUUCUCACUAAUCAGGUUCCCACCGUCUUUGACAGAUUUGAUUCCUGGACUCCCACAGAAGGAUUUCAGAGAAGUCUUUGAACAAAUGCAAGAGGCACAAACUUCACCUAACAACUGUUUACUGAAACAUGUGUAACUUCUGUGCCUGGCAUAGGGCUGAGUGCGGAGGGUCUGAAGCAAGACAGGUCCCUGCCCCCAAGGUGCUGUAGUGCACAGCCUGCAGUCACGGAGCAGGUCUCAGGGCAUGGUUCUUCACUUGUGAGGGACUCCAGAGCUGUGAGUGCCUAAUGAGAACCUGCUGAUCAAGUGAACGGGGCCGACCAGUAUCAGGAUGGCUGCUACUGGCAUCUGUGCAACUCGUCUCCACAGUGAAGAAGAUGAUGGACUCAGAUCCUCUUUGUUUUUGCUCUAUUUGUGCUUCUGUACAUGAGAUACCGGUAACCCUGGAGCAUGAAGGCCUUUCCCAAGGAGUACAUAAAGCCACAGACAGAAAAGAAUGCAUCUUUCUUAGAAUGUCCAUAUCAUUCAAUGAUGAAUUAUGGAAAAGACUUUUAUAUUGAACUCAAAAUAUGCCCUGUGACAUAACAUGAAAUUAAGUCAAAAUUUCAAAAUAAAAUCUAAGAUUUUAAA